UUUAUUCAUGAUUAAUUGUUGAUAAUGGGUGAAUUAAGCGUGGUAAGCCUUAUGAGUGAAGUAUUGGUGAUUGCUUGGAUUUUUGGUGAUUUUGGCUAUGGCUUUGAAUUAUGGUAAGAAAGCUUGAACUCUCUUUAUUGAAUUAAUUGUUGUUGGUAGGUUGAAUCCACCUUUGGUGGAAGUGUUAUAUCUUGUUCUUGUGUGGUAUUAUUGUGAAUUGUAGCCAUGAAGGCAUUGGGGAAGUUGUUGCAUAAUGUUGGAAUAUUGUAUUAUUGUGAAUUGAGGCCAUGAAGGGCAUUAUAUGAGUGUUAUUGUAUUGUUAUAUUAUUAUAUAUGAAUGAGGCUAUAUGUAAAGUCCUAUAUGAAGCUAUAUGUAAAGUUUUAUGUGAAGCUAUAUAUGUGAAGGUAUGAUGUGAAUGAGUUUAUGUGAUCUUGUGAUGAUCCUAUGUAAAGUGGAUAGCAUUGUGAGUUAAAGUAUGAUUUCUCAUGAUGUAUAUAUGAAAUGAUGUUGGAUUAUGAAGUAUCCUUAAAUGAAAAUGUCGUGACUUGGUUGGUAGACUAAAGUGUCCCUCCUUGUUACUUAAAGUCUUGAAUGCAUGAAUGUGUGAAAUGGGC
RNAcentral lists this long non-coding RNA (615 nucleotides) under Solanum tuberosum (potato). RNAcentral's name for it is "long non-coding RNA (STUB_LNC010789)". Lineage: Eukaryota; Viridiplantae; Streptophyta; Magnoliopsida; Solanales; Solanaceae. The record is from RNAcentral.